RNAcentral lists this ribosomal RNA (577 nucleotides) under Enterococcus faecium. Its description in RNAcentral is "bacterial SSU rRNA". It matches the Rfam family "Bacterial small subunit ribosomal RNA", at positions 43 to 591 of the family's 1533-position model. Lineage: Bacteria; Bacillati; Bacillota; Bacilli; Lactobacillales; Enterococcaceae. The record is from RNAcentral.
CGUGCCUAAUACAUGCAAGUCGUACGCUUCUUUUUCCACCGGAGCUUGCUCCACCGGAAAAAGAGGAGUGGCGAACGGGUGAGUAACACGUGGGUAACCUGCCCAUCAGAAGGGGAUAACACUUGGAAACAGGUGCUAAUACCGUAUAACAAUCGAAACCGCAUGGUUUUGAUUUGAAAGGCGCUUUCGGGUGUCGCUGAUGGAUGGACCCGCGGUGCAUUAGCUAGUUGGUGAGGUAACGGCUCACCAAGGCCACGAUGCAUAGCCGACCUGAGAGGGUGAUCGGCCACAUUGGGACUGAGACACGGCCCAAACUCCUACGGGAGGCAGCAGUAGGGAAUCUUCGGCAAUGGACGAAAGUCUGACCGAGCAACGCCGCGUGAGUGAAGAAGGUUUUCGGAUCGUAAAACUCUGUUGUUAGAGAAGAACAAGGAUGAGAGUAACUGUUCAUCCCUUGACGGUAUCUAACCAGAAAGCCACGGCUAACUACGUGCCAGCAGCCGCGGUAAUACGUAGGUGGCAAGCGUUGUCCGGAUUUAUUGGGCGUAAAGCGAGCGCAGGCGGUUUCUUAAGUCUG